RNAcentral lists this ribosomal RNA (505 nucleotides) under uncultured Gammaproteobacteria bacterium. Its description in RNAcentral is "bacterial SSU rRNA". It matches the Rfam family "Bacterial small subunit ribosomal RNA", at positions 235 to 732 of the family's 1533-position model. Lineage: Bacteria; Pseudomonadati; Pseudomonadota; Gammaproteobacteria. The record is from RNAcentral.
AUGGGAUUAGCUAGUAAGUGGGGUAACGGCUCACCUAGGCGACGAUCCCUAGCUGGUCUGAGAGGAUGACCAGGCACACUGGAACUGAGACACGGUCCAGACUCCUACGGGAGGCAGCAGUGGGGAAUAUUGCACAAUGGGCGCAAGCCUGAUGCAGCCAUGCCGCGUGUAUGAAGAAGGCCUUCGGGUUGUAAAGUACUUUCAGCGGGGAGGAAGGGAGUAAAGUUAAUACCUUUGCUCAUUGACGUUACCCGCAGAAGAAGCACCGGCUAACUCCGUGCCAGCAGCCGCGGUAAUACGGAGGGUGCAAGCGUUAAUCGGAAUUACUGGGCGUAAAGCGCACGCAGGCGGUUUGUUAAGUCAGAUGUGAAAUCCCCGGGCUCAACCUGGGAACUGCAUCUGAUACUGGCAAGCUUGAGUCUCGUAGAGGGGGGUAGAAUUCCAGGUGUAGCGGUGAAAUGCGUAGAGAUCUGGAGGAAUACCGGUGGCGAAGGCGGCCCCCUGG